GCGGAUUCUAGAAUGAUAGAGCCCGCGGCUUGGUGAUCCGGGGACCCUCGGCCUCUGGGCCGUCGAGAGGGGCCCCGAGAGGAAAGCGCCAGAGAGCUAGGAGUGUUAAAUAGCUGCAGAAGAGAAAGAAAACAUCGUGGAUGGCGGUGGAGCCCAUGGUAGGCAGGAAUAAUGUGAAGAAGGCAUUACUUUGUGUCUUCGAGCAUCUGCUGUUGCUGCUAAGAAGUCGGCCCCAGCACAAAAGGCUUUUCUUUCAAGUGAAAAUAAGGAGUGCUGAUACCUGAAGAAGAUUUCAAAUCCUGCAACUUUGGUGAAGUUUCUAGAAGCAUAGUCAUCUGGAGUAAGCCAAAGUAAAGGAUAGAUUCUUGCACCUUGAUGUUCCCACUAUGAAGAAGAAAACAUCCCACCUCCUGGACCUCUUCAGAUUCUGGAAGCAUCCUAUUCCACAACAGGGGACAUUGCUCCAAUUGGCUGCCAUGUGUUUAGGAAAAUCCUUAAGCAGACAUGUCUUAAAGAAGUGUUCUAAUAGGAUUAUCCAUGUCUACCGUGUUGACUGUCCAUGUUUUCAUUAAAAUGGUCUGAAGAACCCUUGUAAAGAUUACAGGUAAACUCAAGGAAAGGAAACGCCUCAGAAGAAAUCCGAAAUGAAAAAUGACCCUCAGUCCCCGUGGCCCGCCGGUGCCCGAUUCCCCACCCAUCCUGUCUCCACAUCAAAGAGCAAAGGGGAUAGGCAACAGACCGUGGGAUCCUUUGUUUACCCACGGGGAUGAAGACUGCAGAUCCUUCCAUCCAGCUCCAAAUGCGCGCGCUCCAGUAACCCGUGUGGGAAUCGAGGGAUUACAGUAUUAUCCCGCUAUUGUUUUCUGCACUACAUCCACUUCAAUCUUCAGGAAAAUUAGAACAGAAACAGGCCCGGGAGAUUAUGAACAGGCUGCUGCCCCUGAUGUCUGCCCUUCUCCUGAUGUAUACACCCAGGAGGCAGGAUUGUUUCUUCAGCUUCUAUCAAAAACCCUCUGUGAAUGUGGAAAAUAAUAACAAUAAUAAUAAUAAUAAUGAGUGGAGGUGAAAUCACCCAGGAGGCAAUGACUCUUUCCUCUCCCGGAGGAACAGAUCUUGGCCAAGCAGACGUAAAAAUACACAGUCUCCGCCGUAGUUGGAGAGUGGAAAGCCAACAGGCAGAGCGCACGGGCUUUGGAAAUGCCCAUGGUGAAUGGGGAGCAAUAAAGAAUAUGAACCCGGCAGCUCAGACUGAAUCCAAAUUUCGGGAGGAAGGCAGGAACGGAGUGCUCUGCUCCCCCAUGCUGAGCUUCCCUAGGACGGACGCAGACUUUAUUUUCCAUCUGGCACAGGAAGAGCCUGGACCUACCCCAGCUAGAUCAUUCCAAGAGCACUCCAAGUGUUGUGUCCACAGGGCCCACUUUGCUCUGAACUGCGUGACCCGAGGCCAGCUGUCAAAGGCUGAGCUUCAUCGGGUAGCACGAGGCCAUCAAGGUCAGAUAUAAAAGCAAGCUGGCCGGGCUCCUAGGGUUACAAUAACGUCAGGCAAGUUCGGCUCACUUUUUCCACCCCUAAGCCAGGGGCUGGCCUGUCAUGGUGAUACGGUAAUAUUAAUAACUACAGGGACAACCAACACCUUUCAGGGAAGGGUUUCAAAACGCUUUCCAAGGAAAGGCCGGUUAUUAAUUCCCCACACGACAGAUAAGAAAACUCAAGCAGAGAGCAGGAAAAUGAUUAGAGCCAGAGCGCGCAUGUGAGCUGAAGGCAAGAACCGCAGCCCGCCGUCCCCAGAUCAGGUUCUGGUCCUCGGGGGUACUAUCUGAGUGCUCGGGGGCCCACUUUGCAAAUAUACUGACUGCUCUGUUCUCAGGAGCCCGGAGGUUGGGUGAGCCCUGCUCACUGUAUUGCUGUAAAGCCUUCCUAGUCCAUUAACAUACCUCCCAUUCAAACACAGUCAGGGCUGGUCUAUACUGUUCAUUUCCCUUCCUUAGAAAUCUGCUGCGUAUACAAAAUAAGGACCAAAACAAAAUACAGAAUUAAGAAAGCGGACAGAAACAUUUACUUCUCCCAAUAACAUUUAUGUAUCCACAAAGAUACCCUCUUCCCAAAGGUCCGAACUCUCAUGUUUCCUGGAGUCCUUCCAACCAGUAACUAAAAUUUCAUUGGCUUGGGACUUGCCAUUUAAAGUAGGAUCAAGCUUUCAGACUUUUCUAUCAGAUUUAUCAGAUACUAUCAUUCUUCUCCAUUUAUGGUCUAAGAUGAUUCUGGAAUCGCAAAGAUACCUGGGCCAUCUUUUUAAGCAACUGACACGCAGUGACUAAGCAUCACUAAUCGUAGCAGAGGCUGCAUGACCUUGUGAUUGGGCACAGGGACGUUGGGACAAAGCUUCACUCUUAAUGAACUAUGGGACGCUGGCAAGGUCCCUAACUUCUCUACCCAGCUUUCUCAUCUGUAGAAUGGCCGUGAGAAGGUGCCUGCUCCCUAAGGCUAUAGAGAGAAUGAAUGAGCCAGCAUAAGCAGAGGGCGUAGAACAGACCUGCCGGUAGGAUGCACCUUGCACGAGGGUAAGUCCUACCCUGAGCGUUCAUUUUCUAGUAGGAAAGAGAAGUUCUAGGCAAUGAUCCUUGCCAUAGGGAACACUACAAAACGGAAUCCGUGGAAAACAAAGCAUGCAUUUGGCACAGUGUUUGGCUGAAUGACAAUAGGUCACUAAGACCGUUAAGCAGAGUAGU
RNA transcript from Mustela lutreola (European mink), 2729 nucleotides. RefSeq lists it as uncharacterized. NCBI's taxonomy places the organism in Eukaryota, Metazoa, Chordata, Mammalia, Carnivora, Mustelidae. The transcript has 7 exons. The record is from RefSeq and is a predicted model, not a curated record.